Molecule: ribosomal RNA, 254 nt
Filed under: uncultured bacterium
Lineage: Bacteria
Description: partial 16S ribosomal RNA
Rfam family: Bacterial small subunit ribosomal RNA
Source: RNAcentral
UACAGAGGGUGCGAGCGUUGUUCGGAAUUACUGGGCGUAAAGCGCGCGCAGGCGGCCCUUUAAGUCCACUGGUCAAAAGCCGGGGCUCAACCCCGAGCUCGCCAGGGAUACUGGAGGGCUGGAGACACGUAGAGGCAAGCGGAAUUCCGGGUGUAGCGGUGGAAUGCGUAGAGAUCCGGAAGAACACCGGAGGCGAAGGCGGCUUGCUGGGCGUGAUCUGACGCUGAAGCGCGAAAGCUAGGGGAGCGAACGGG